This 927-nucleotide ribosomal RNA is filed under the name uncultured bacterium. RNAcentral's name for it is "bacterial SSU rRNA". It matches the Rfam family "Bacterial small subunit ribosomal RNA", at positions 8 to 916 of the family's 1533-position model. The record is from RNAcentral.
AGAGUUUGAUCAUGGCUCAGGACGAACGCUGGCGGCAUGCCUAAUACAUGCAAGUCGAGCGAACAGAUGAAGUGCUUGCACUUCUGACGUUAGCGGCGAACGGGUGAGUAACACGUAAGGAAUCUACCUAUAAGCGGGGGAUAACAUUCGGAAACGGGUGCUAAUACCGCAUAAUAUCUUCUUCCGCAUGGAAGAAGAUUGAAAGACGGCUCUGCUGUCACUUAUAGAUGACCUUGCGGUGCAUUAGUUAGUUGGUGGGGUAACGGCCUACCAAGACGAUGAUGCAUAGCCGACCUGAGAGGGUGAUCGGCCACAUUGGGACUGAGACACGGCCCAAACUCCUACGGGAGGCAGCAGUAGGGAAUCUUCCGCAAUGGGCGAAAGCCUGACGGAGCAAUGCCGCGUGAGUGAAGAAGGCCUUCGGGUCGUAAAACUCUGUUAUAAGAGAAGAACAAAUUGUAGAGUAACUGCUACAGUCUUGACGGUAUCUUAUCAGAAAGCCACGGCUAACUACGUGCCAGCAGCCGCGGUAAUACGUAGGUGGCAAGCGUUGUCCGGAUUUAUUGGGCGUAAAGGGAGCGCAGGUGGUUUCUUAAGUCUGAUGUGAAAGCCCACGGCUUAACCGUGGAGGGUCGUUGGAAACUGGGAAACUUGAGUACAGAAGAGGAAUGUGGAACUCCAUGUGUAGCGGUGGAAUGCGUAGAUAUAUGGAAGAACACCAGUGGCGAAGGCGACAUUCUGGUCUGUUACUGACACUGAGGCUCGAAAGCGUGGGGAGCAAACAGGAUUAGAUACCCUGGUAGUCCACGCCGUAAACGAUGAGUGCUAGGUGUUGGAGGGUUUCCGCCCUUCAGUGCCGCAGUUAACGCAUUAAGCACUCCGCCUGGGGAGUACGACCGCAAGGUUGAAACUCAAAUGAAUUGACGG